UAUUCCCUGCAUCGUGCCCUGAGGCCUGGCACAGGGCAGAUCAGCCCUUUAGUGCUCAGGAGGCAGGAUCUGGAGUUGGGGCACAACGAGGUACUGUAGCUUCUUCCUCCACAGCCGGCUGUGGAGUAGCAGGACCUGGCCCUUCUGCCUGGGCAGCAGAAUAUAUAUUUUACCUAUCAGAGACAUCUAUUUUUCUGGGCUCCAACACAUCUUGCCACCAUGUUGACAUAGGUUCCUUCCUGACUGUGCUCUCUCUCCUAACAGCUGUCCUGGUUGGCCCAGGUCCUUAUAUCAUGCCAGAGUCACAACUAUAGGGUCCCAGCUGGGGGCGGGUGGGCACUGGACCCUGCUGCUCUAGCCCCAGCCACCAGCCUGUCCCUGUUGUAAGGAAGCCAGGCCUAUUCUCUUCAUUUCUCUUAGGAGAGUGCCAAAAACUCAGGGACCCAGCACUGGACUGGGUUGGGAGUGGGAUGUCCCAGUGGGGUUUGGGCGAGCAGCCUGCUGGGAUCCCAUGGCCUGAGCAGAGCAUGUGGGAACUAUUCAGUGCCCUGUGAACUGUCUUCCUUGUUCUAGCUAGGCUGCUCAAGACUGUUCUCCACAGCAAGGUUCUGGGGCUUUUUGCCUUCAGUGUUGUGGCUCUAGGUAUGGGCCUAACUUGGGCUCUGGGUCUCUGUCCCUGGAGCUUGGGGCUCAGAGGAGCCUCUGCCCAGCCCCUCAGUAUUACCAUGUCUCCUUCCUCUUAGGGGUAGCAGAGACAGGGCUGCUUGUAGGAAGCUGGCACCACUCAGCUCUCCCUGCUACUCCAGCUUCCUCAGCCUCUGCAAGGCACUCAGGGUUGGGGACAGCAGGAUCAAGACAACUAGUUGGAGCCCUGUGUUCCAGAGGGCCUGAUGCCAAGGGGUAAUGGGCCCAGCACUGCCUCUGGAGCCCAGGCCCCAACACAGCCCCAUGGCCUCUGCCAGAUGGUUUUGAAGGUGAUCCAAGCAGGCCCCUUGUCUGUACAUAGUGACUGAAUGGGGGUGCUGGCAGGUGUGACAGCUGCCUCUGGGCAGAGCACAGCCUGACCCCUCUAGCCCCUGUAAAUACUGGAUCAAUGAAUGAAUAAAACCCUCCUAAGAAUCUCCUGAGAAA
Callithrix jacchus (white-tufted-ear marmoset) is the source of this 1131-nucleotide non-coding RNA. NCBI's taxonomy places the organism in Eukaryota, Metazoa, Chordata, Mammalia, Primates, Cebidae. The record is from RefSeq and is a predicted model, not a curated record.